UUUGAGGGGGAUGUUGGCUGGCUCGAUGCACUUACUUAUCAUCUUCCUCAAAAACAUGCGACAUAUACAUACAUAUGGAAGAUCAUAUAUCUAUAAAUAUAUAUUUGUCUUCCAUAUCCCAUAUAUAUAUGUUGAUGAUGGUGGAGUGAUGGCAUCGGACCAGGCUUCAUUCCUCCCAAA
RNAcentral lists this microRNA precursor (180 nucleotides) under Ipomoea nil (Japanese morning glory). RNAcentral's name for it is "mir-166 microRNA precursor family". It matches the Rfam family "mir-166 microRNA precursor family". Rfam says of the family: This family represents the plant microRNA (miRNA) precursor mir-166. Lineage: Eukaryota; Viridiplantae; Streptophyta; Magnoliopsida; Solanales; Convolvulaceae. The record is from Rfam by way of RNAcentral.